This 184-nucleotide small RNA is filed under the name Arabidopsis thaliana (thale cress). RNAcentral describes it as "ATSL159150". Lineage: Eukaryota; Viridiplantae; Streptophyta; Magnoliopsida; Brassicales; Brassicaceae. The record is from RNAcentral.
AAAACAAAAGAUAAACAAAAACCUCUCUUUUAGUUCUGGUAUUUCAGAAAACGAUUCAUUUACCAUCACGGACAUAACGGCAAACACUCCCAAAAUGGAACCAACGUGUAUUGCAAAUUGUGUGAAUACACUUCUACAAGAAUACAACAGGUUUGUUUGGCUGUAUUUUUAAAAGAUUUAUUAC